GACGAACGCUGGCGGCGUGCCUAAUACAUGCAAGUAGAACGCACAGUUUAUACCGUAGCUUGCUACACCAUAAACUGUGAGUUGCGAACGGGUGAGUAACGCGUAGGUAACCUGCCUGGUAGCGGGGGAUAACUAUUGGAAACGAUAGCUAAUACCGCAUAAUAUUGAUUAUUGCAUGAUAAUUGAUUGAAAGAUGCUAUUGCAUCACUACCAGAUGGACCUGCGUUGUAUUAGCUAGUAGGUGAGGUAACGGCUCACCUAGGCGACGAUACAUAGCCGACCUGAGAGGGUGAUCGGCCACACUGGGACUGAGACACGGCCCAGACUCCUACGGGAGGCAGCAGUAGGGAAUCUUCGGCAAUGGACGAAAGUCUGACCGAGCAACGCCGCGUGAGUGAAGAAGGUUUUCGGAUCGUAAAGCUCUGUUGUAAGAGAAGAACGGGUGUGAGAGUGGAAAGUUCACACUGUGAUGGUAUCUUACCAGAAAGGGACGGCUAACUACGUG
Molecule: ribosomal RNA, 505 nt
Filed under: uncultured bacterium
Lineage: Bacteria
Description: partial 16S ribosomal RNA
Rfam family: Bacterial small subunit ribosomal RNA
Source: RNAcentral